This 515-nucleotide ribosomal RNA is filed under the name uncultured Propionibacteriaceae bacterium. Its description in RNAcentral is "bacterial SSU rRNA". It matches the Rfam family "Bacterial small subunit ribosomal RNA", at positions 395 to 920 of the family's 1533-position model. Lineage: Bacteria; Bacillati; Actinomycetota; Actinomycetes; Propionibacteriales; Propionibacteriaceae. The record is from RNAcentral.
CGCCGCGUGCGGGAUGACGGCCUUCGGGUUGUAAACCGCUUUCAGCACGGACGAAACGAAAGUGACGGUAUGCGCAGAAGAAGCACCGGCCAACUACGUGCCACCAGCCGCGGUGAUACGUAGGGUGCGAGCGUUGUCCGGAAUUAUUGGGCGUAAAGAGCUUGUAGGCGGUCAGUCGCGUCUGAAGUGAAAACUCAGGGCUUAACCCUGAGCCUGCUUCCGAUACGGGCUGACUAGAGGAAGGUAAGGGAGAAUGGAAUUCCUGGUGGAUCGGUGGAAUGCACACAUAUCAGGAGGAACACCCGUGGCGAAAGCCGUUCUCUGGACCUUUCCUGACACUGAGAAACGAAAGCGUGGGGAGCAAAAAGGCUUACAUACCCUGGUAGUCCCCUCCCUAAACGGUGGGCACUAGGUGUGGGGAACAUUCAACGUUAUCCCUGCCGUAACUAACGCAUUAAGUACCCCGCCGGGGGAGUACGGCCGCAAGGCUAACACUGAAUGGAAUGGGGGGGGGG